Coturnix japonica (Japanese quail) is the source of this 594-nucleotide non-coding RNA. The record is from RefSeq and is a predicted model, not a curated record. Lineage: Eukaryota; Metazoa; Chordata; Aves; Galliformes; Phasianidae.
UGCAUUUAUCCAUUAAUGUUCCAUCACUGAGCUCUUCAGGUUUCUGCUCUGUAUUUUCCUGAUUCACCUUUGGAAUACACCUGGCUUUCUGCAGCAAUGCUUGUGUAGCUGUUGUGGGUGAGUGCCCUUCGCAGAGAGCAUCAGUGGUUUGCUGUAACACCAGGACCUGAAAACAGCAUAUCUCAUCUUAGGAUAAUACCUGAGCCUUCCAGGGCAACAGUAGACUUUGGAACCAGGAUGCUCUUGUUCCUUCAGCAGCAUUUUAGCUACUUACUGGCUGAAAUGGUAUGCCUGUGUCUGGAUGAGAUAGAGAGCAAUUUACCGAUUUCAUCCACACGAUGGAUGUGGAGGAGAAGCCAUAGAGGAUGAUACCCAACCAGAAACACGCUGCAGUUUUGUUGUGAAUAUCCAGGAAGUCUCUGCAGUGCAGAUGUGACAGCAACAGCAAAACUUAUUUCAAGGUCCCAUCCCAUGAAGAGGCUGAUCAUGCCUUCCCUGGAACCAAGCAGCAUGUAAAACCUGUGAUUUUUGGGGGCCCUUGAGUGAUGAAGCUGGUGAUGGAAAGGCCACUUCUUGCAGCACUGACUAUAAACA